GUAAGCAAGGAACUUUAUGUACAGUAUAUGGACGUUUACAAAUGCAUUUGAAGACCCCUGAGCUGGCUUGCGAAACAAGACGUCGAAUCGAGACAUACCCGUGGAAUAAGUGCUCAGCCAAUGACGCAAUCAGUGGCAGUCAAGGGAGCGAGCAGCGCGUGCUCGACACGGCGACAGGUUACCAAUACAACGAUAACGAAAGGAAAUUAAAACCUCAGUUUACUGCCUCUGUUUUCACAGAAACUCGAGUCAGGGUUUUCUGUUGACUCAUUAGCAGCAAGAACUAAUAAUAACUACAUGCCGACAUUGUAGCUUUGUUCGUUUUACGUUAAGCUUGUUUUUAUUGUACAAGACGAGGUGUAAGUGCGUUUAUAAAACGACAACAUACCUUUAAACGCGCGAUAAAUCAUUCCGAGGCAUUAUCUUCUUUUUGAUAUCUCCAGUCCGAGAUUAGCCUAGCUUCAGCGGCGAGGAAUCUCAGUGUAUUUGUGUAGUCACGACAGGCUAUCAUAUGGGCCGCGUCUCAAACCGCCAUACUAAAUGGUGUGUCAAAAUUAAACCGACAUUGGUAAUACAUAAAAACAUUUUUUAUUUGAGUAUAGAGUUCUAGAAAAUAAACUCAUGUAAUGCCUCAUGGUGUUUGCGUACUCGUUAAUGUGGUAUUUAUUUGAAUACCAUAUAAGACGGUACUGUGCGGUUUGGAACGCACCCAUGCGGUAAGGUUUACGUACUGUACCGUGCUGUAGGAGGAUAGACUAUAGCUCUGAUUCUCAAAAUGGGGUCCGGGAACCCCCUGGGGUCAAUGAGGCAUAGUUAGGGGUUCCAUGAAUUUAGUUACAGUGGUGGAAAUAACAGCCCGCAUUAUCAAAGUUAUUAUAUUUAGGGGUCCAAGCACCAAAGUCAACUCAGACCUGUGUUCUAUCAGUGGAAACGUCAAGAAUAAGCCCUAUCCAGUGCCUCUUCGACUGCUUGGAUGAAAUGGGAAUGGAGCGUGAUCGUAUGACCACGUGACGCAAACAUCUGGUUGUGUAGAAAAUACAACCCGCUAGGGCUUUUGCCAACCGAGAGUGGCUCGACAUGAUGUACUCCAUCAUGGGGUAUGUCAAGGAGGAGCCUUCCAACCAGGCUGGAACCAUCUACCACCCUCCCUCCCCCACUGUGAAUCUCGUCCAGCCUUCCGUGUCAACAGAGAAUGUUGUUUAGCCUCCCUGCUCGUCUGAGGACGCCACACAGUGUCCCUGUUCAGCUGAAGACAUUGCUCCGCCUCCCGGUGCAGCCAAGAGCUCCGCUUUUCUUCCCUGCUUCACUUCGGACAUUGCGCCACCUUCCUACUCCACUGAGGAUGUUGCUCUGCCUUCCUACUCGGCUGAGGACAUCGCUCUGCUGUCCUGCUCCACUGAGGACGUCGCUCUGCCUCCAUGCUUCGCUGAAGACGUUGCUCCUUUUCUUUGCUUUGUGCUGUAUGUUGCUCUCCCUUCCUGCUUCACAGAGAGCAUCGCUCCCCCCUCAUGCUUCACGGGGAGCUCCCCCCACUGGCCUCGUGGAGAACCUCACUCCCCUCUCUGGCCUCUCGGAGAGCGUCGCUACCCCCUCUAUCUUCAUGGGGAAUGUCGCUUCCCACUCAGGCUCCGCCUUGAGCUUCGUUCCUCCCGCUGGCUGUGCAGGAGCAUACCAAGUUCCAGUCUGAGGUCAACAAGACAGCCUCUCAAGUCAAGUUCCUGCUAGAGGACAACGAGGUGACCUCCUAUGCCCAUUUCCAGUCUGAGGUCAAAGAGAUGGCCUCCCAAACUCUGUUCCUGUCUGAGGUCAACAUCACGACCAACCUCAUGCCUACCCCUUGGUUCCUUGAGGAGCCUGCUAUCUGUUGGGUAAUGCCUGCCUCGGGACCUGAGGGGCUGUGAAGACAUUUUGCCCAAAGGGCCAGGACCGGCAGGGGGAGAGAGUGUUUUCUGGCGAUAAGGGAGUAGUACCUUUGGGGUGGGGUGGGGGGACUACAGCUCCCAGCAGCCACUGCACUACAUCACGGUCACAUGACCACCUGCACCUGAAUCACAUUCUAGU
Ictalurus furcatus (blue catfish) is the source of this 2061-nucleotide long non-coding RNA. RefSeq lists it as uncharacterized. The transcript is spliced from 3 exons. The record is from RefSeq and is a predicted model, not a curated record. Lineage: Eukaryota; Metazoa; Chordata; Actinopteri; Siluriformes; Ictaluridae.